AAAUUGGUUUUUUUUAAAACCAUCAGACUCUCUCACUGAAAUUCUC
Molecule: non-coding RNA, 46 nt
Organism: Macrostomum lignano
Lineage: Eukaryota; Metazoa; Platyhelminthes; Macrostomidae
Source: Rfam